Molecule: RNA transcript, 1373 nt
Organism: Solanum stenotomum
Lineage: Eukaryota; Viridiplantae; Streptophyta; Magnoliopsida; Solanales; Solanaceae
Gene name: deacetoxyvindoline 4-hydroxylase-like
Exons: 2
Source: RefSeq, a predicted model, not a curated record
UGUUUUAUGCUAAAGGAAUAUAUUAUAAAAUUAUAAUGGGAUGUUUAAUAUGUUUAUGAAAAUUAUGUUUUGAAAAUGCAACCAUCUAAGUAGUACUCUCUUUGUACCAAAUCUUGUAAAACUUUCUCCAGCUGAAUUUAGCAAUGGAUUAUGAUCCAUCAGAUGAGAAAAAGGCUAUUGAUGAUACAAAAGCUGGUGUUAAGGGACUAGUUGAUUCUGGAAUAGUCGAGAUUCCAAGAAUUUUCAUUAGGCCAUCUGAUGAACUUGCUGAGGAGUUGAAUAUGUGCAAGUCAACUCUACAGGUUCCGGUGGUGGAUCUAAGUGGCAUAGAAGUUGAAGAUCGGCGUAAGAUCAUUGUUGAUGAAAUAAGGGAAGUAUCUGAGAAAUUGGGCCUUUUCCAAGUGAUAAAUCAUGGGGUUCCUUCAAGUGUUUUGGAAGGAAUGAUUGAUGGGACUCGUAAAUUUCAUGAACAAGAUGUCGAAGUGAAGAAAGAGUACUAUUCGUCUGAUCCAACAACCAGACGAGUUAGAUAUGAUGGCAAUGUUCAUAUGUACAAAACAAAAGGAAAGACUGCACACUGGAAGGAUACAUUGUAUGUUGCUGGGCUAGUUUCUGGUCACAUUGAACCUGAAGAAUUACCAGAAGUUUGCAGGUAAACUAUGUAUCUUCAUUUCUAGGGGAAAUUCUUUUUGGCAUACUAUCAGAAGGUCUUGGGCUAAAACCUGACCAGUUGAAAGCUACAGAAUGUGCCAAAGAACAAGGGAUGGCAUGCCAUUACUACCCGACAUGCCCACAGCCAGAGCUAACUCUUGGUACUGGUAAGCAUACAGAUCCUGUUUUCCUUACGUUUAUCCUUCAAAAUCAGAUUGGUGGGCUCCAAGUCAUGUGUGAUAACCAAUGGGCGGAUGUUGAACCGAUUGAACAUGGUUUGGUUGUUAUUAUUGGUGAUCUCCUUCAGAUCCUAUCAAAUGACAAGUUUGUAAGUGCAACUCAUAGAGUUGUAGCAAAUAAGGUAGCAGAACCAAGGAUUUCAGUGAUAUUCUUCUUCAGUGGAGUUUCUACACCUCCAAAGAUGUUUGGUCCAAUCAAAGAGCUCAUAUCAGAAGAAAACCCCCCACUAUAUAAACAAGUUCUAGUAGUUGAUUAUGUCUCAAAUUUUUUGUCCAAGCCACUUGAUAAGACUAGUCUUGAUCUUGUCAGACUCUGAAGAAUCGCUACGCGAAAAUGACCAUAAACCAUCACAAAAGCCUAUCAUCAUUCAUACAGAACUAUGUCAUAGUUUGUGAUUUGCUGUAAAAUAAUGUUCAUUUUCAUGUUGAAGGAACUAUUGAAAGUAAUAGUGCUUUGAACUUUUAUGUGAAACUUUAUCACAA